UACGUAGGGGGCAAGCGUUGUCCGGAUUUAUUGGGCGUAAAGAGCGUGUAGGCGGUUUGGUAGGUCGCUGUGAAACUCGAGCUCAACCUCGAGACGCCGGUGGAAACCAUCAGACUAGAGUCCGGAAGAGGAGAGUGGAAUUCCGUGGAUGAUAGCGGUGAAAUGCGCAGAUAUCGAAGGAAGAACCGAGCCCGUAGGCGAAGGCGGCGUC
RNAcentral lists this ribosomal RNA (211 nucleotides) under uncultured bacterium. Its description in RNAcentral is "partial 16S ribosomal RNA". It matches the Rfam family "Bacterial small subunit ribosomal RNA", at positions 524 to 728 of the family's 1533-position model. The record is from RNAcentral.